Molecule: transfer RNA, 73 nt
Filed under: Fonticella tunisiensis
Lineage: Bacteria; Bacillati; Bacillota; Clostridia; Eubacteriales; Clostridiaceae
Rfam family: tRNA
About the family: Transfer RNA (tRNA) molecules are approximately 80 nucleotides in length. Their secondary structure includes four short double-helical elements and three loops (D, anti-codon, and T loops). Further hydrogen bonds mediate the characteristic L-shaped molecular structure. tRNAs have two regions of fundamental functional importance: the anti-codon, which is responsible for specific mRNA codon recognition, and the 3' end, to which the tRNAs corresponding amino acid is attached (by aminoacyl-tRNA synthetases). tRNAs cope with the degeneracy of the genetic code in two manners: having more than one tRNA (with a specific anti-codon) for a particular amino acid; and 'wobble' base-pairing, i.e. permitting non-standard base-pairing at the 3rd anti-codon position.
Source: Rfam by way of RNAcentral
UGCCGAGUCGCCAAGUUGGUAAGGCAUCUGACUCUGGAUCAGACAUUCGUGGGUUCGAGUCCUACCUCGGCAG